GCCCAAUCAAGCCAAAGAAGUCCAAAAGUCCCAAUUUAAGAACUCAACGAGGCCGCAAACUUUAAUACAGUGGCCGCAAGGUUUAAUACCUUUGACACAAACUUUAGUACGUUGGCCGCAAACUUUUACACAUUGGUCGUGAACUUUUGUACUUUGGCCGCGGUUUACGCGCCCUAAUAUAAAGCCAUAGAUACAAGACGUCUUGUCUCUCUCCUUCAACCUUCCCUAUUUCGACCCGUCUCUCUCUCUCUCUCUCUCUCUCUCUCUCUCUCUCUCAUCCGUGUGGAAGAGUGUAUGUUUCACUAGACUAACCAGGAAUCAGGCAAUAGACAGUAGUGAAGUAAGAGAGAAGAAAGUCGAACUUGGAAGAAGAAGAUGAGAGAGAUACCGAAGGUGAAUGCGAUGAGGUCAGGGGUAGUAGUGGUUGGAGCCUUGGCCUUCGGGUACUUGACCCUGCAACUCGGUUUCAGGCCUUACCUCGAGAGAGCUCAAGAAACUCUGGACAAGUCUGCCCACCCAAGUGAUGAGUCCUUCGACAAUGCCCAAAGAAUCUCUGAGUAUUCUCAUAUCCAAGUAAAAGAUAACUAAUACAUCCUCCCUUCAGCCAUCUCUGUGCUACAUGGGUUUUAGCUGUUUGCAUCUCUUACAUUGCUUGUAUUUCUGCUUGUUCCUGACUCUCUUCAAAUUCUAUGAUAAUUGGUGCAGAUUUCACUUGGACUAGGUUUUUUUCUUUUAUUUUGUGUAGUCAGUUUUUGAUUCCCUAGUGUAAUCUGCACUAUAUCAAUUGGAACUUGUUAAUAUUGGACCAUUGGUUGCA
Long non-coding RNA from Rhododendron vialii, 817 nucleotides. RefSeq lists it as uncharacterized. The record is from RefSeq and is a predicted model, not a curated record. NCBI's taxonomy places the organism in Eukaryota, Viridiplantae, Streptophyta, Magnoliopsida, Ericales, Ericaceae. The transcript has 2 exons.